RNAcentral lists this ribosomal RNA (457 nucleotides) under uncultured bacterium. Its description in RNAcentral is "bacterial SSU rRNA". It matches the Rfam family "Bacterial small subunit ribosomal RNA", at positions 28 to 524 of the family's 1533-position model. The record is from RNAcentral.
GGUGAAUGCUGGCGGCGUGGAUAAGUCAUGCAAGUCAAGGGGGCCCGCAAGGGCAACCGGCAAACGAGGUAGUAACACGUAGGUAGACCCCCCAGAGUCGGGCAUAGCCAGCCGAAAGGUUGGGUAAUUCCCGAUAGUCCCGAAACGGGUAAAGGUUUUUCGUCUCUGGGAGUUGCCUGCGUAGUAUCAGCUAGUUGGUAGGGUAAUGGCCUACCAAGGCUACGACGCUUAGGGGAGCUGAGAGGCUGACCCCCACCGAUGGAACUGCGACACGGUCCAUACUCCUACGGGAGGCUGCAGACGAGAAUAUUCCGCAAUGGGCGAAAGCCUGACGGAGCGACGCCGCGUGAUUGAUGAAGUGCUUCGGUACGUAAAGAUCUUUUAUCGGGGGACGAAGUUUAUUGACGGUACCCGAUGAAUAAGGGGCUCCUAACUCUGUGCCAGCAGCCGCGGUAAU